UUUAAUUAAAAGUAUUUGAAUAUAGGACCUGCCCACUGAAGUUUAAAGGGCCGCGGAAUUUAAUCGUGCAAAGGUAGCAUAAUAAUUAGUUUCUUAAUUAGAAAAUGGAAUGAAUGGUUUAAUAGUUUAAAUUUUUAAAUUUUGAAUAUUUUGAAUUAGAUUUUGAAGUGAAAAAGCUUUAGUGUUUUUAAAAGACGAUAAGACCCUAUAGAUCUUUAUGCUAAAUUUAAAUUAUAUAGUAAUAAGGAUGUCAGUUUUUAAGUUUGGUAUUUUGUUGGGGUGACAAUAGAAUUUAUAGUACUUCUAGUUAAUUACAUAAUCUUGAAGUUGGGAUUAGAAAAAGAUACCUUAGGGAUAACAGCGUUAUUAAAUUGGAGAGAUCACAUUGAUAAUUUAGUUUGCGACCUCGAUGUUGAAUUAAGAUAAAUAUUUUUAGAAGUUUAAAAAUAUUUUAGUCUGUUCGACUAGUAAAGUCUUACA
Molecule: ribosomal RNA, 480 nt
Filed under: Megalothorax sp. EA010037
Lineage: Eukaryota; Metazoa; Arthropoda; Collembola; Neelipleona; Neelidae
Description: partial 16S ribosomal RNA
Rfam family: Bacterial large subunit ribosomal RNA
Source: RNAcentral